GAGUUUUAUAUUAAGUUUUAUUAUAUAUGUGUAUAAAAUUUUAUAUUAAAAUGAAAUAAAAUAUUAUAUUGGGGUGAUAGAAAAAUAAAAAAAACUUUUUUUAAAAAUUUAACAUAAAUAAAUGAUUUUAUGAUCCAUUAUUUAGUGAUUAUAAGAAAAAAUUACCUUAGGGAUAACAGCGUAAUUUUUUUUUUUAGAACAAAUAAAAAAAAGAGAUUGC
Molecule: ribosomal RNA, 220 nt
Filed under: Yphthimoides mimula
Lineage: Eukaryota; Metazoa; Arthropoda; Insecta; Lepidoptera; Nymphalidae
Description: partial large subunit ribosomal RNA
Source: RNAcentral